GCAGUCGUACGAGAGUUUUUAACUCAAGUGGCGGACGGGUGAGUAACACGUGAGAAUCUGCCUUUAGGAGGGGGAUAACAACUGGAAACGGUUGCUAAUACCCCAUAUGCUUUCGAGUGAAAUGGAUUUAUCCGCCUAAAGAGGAGCUCGCGGCUGAUUAGCUUGUUGGUAGGGUAAUGGCCUACCAAGGCGACGAUCAGUAUCUGGUUUGAGAGGAUGAUCAGACACACUGGAACUGAGACACGGUCCAGACUCCUACGGGAGGCAGCAGUGGGGAAUUUUCCGCAAUGGGCGAAAGCCUGACGGAGCAAUACCGCGUGAGGGAAGACGGCCUAUGGGUUGUAAACCCCUUUUCUCAGGGAGGAACUCAAUGACGUGUACCUGAGGAAUAAGCAUCGGCUAACUCCGUGCCAGCAGCCGCGGUAAGACGGAGGAUGCAAGUGUUAUCCGGAAUCACUGGGCGUAAAGCGUCUGUAGGUGGUUUAAUAAGUCAACUGUUAAAUCUUGAGGCUCAACUUCAAAAUCGCAGUCGAAACUAUUAGACUAGAGUAUAGUAGGGGUAAAGGGAAUUUCCAGUGGAGCGGUGAAAUGCGUAGAGAUUGGAAAGAACACCGAUGGCGAAGGCACUUUACUGGGCUAUUACUAACACUCAGAGACGAAAGCUAGGGUAGCAAAUGGGAUUAGAUACCC
Molecule: ribosomal RNA, 690 nt
Filed under: uncultured cyanobacterium
Lineage: Bacteria; Bacillati; Cyanobacteriota
Description: bacterial SSU rRNA
Rfam family: Bacterial small subunit ribosomal RNA
Source: RNAcentral